GGGAGCUGAGACAAAUUCCGGUGACUCUCCCACUCCUGGAACAUGCGUGUCAGGAAGGCGUACUCUCUGGCUCGGAGGGACAGAAAAUCAAUCAUCAGCAGCACACACAGGGGGUCGUUCUCUGGAUCAAGGCUCAGAAUCAGCUUGCAGAACUCCAGGGCUGUCCGGGGACAACCCCUCUUCUCCAGGAACAUCAGGUGUUUGAACAGAGCCAGGUAGAAAGCCCUGUUCUCCGGCCGCCGGUAGUCCAACCUGCAGCUCCCACUGGUCAGACUGAAGACAGGGUGGAAGGUGCACUCCAGGCUGUACAGUGCCCGCUCUACGAGAUCACGGGCCAUCUCCUGAUCCUCUUGCAUCCGGCAGACAUCACUGAGCUGCAGAAGGGAGUCCACAUGGUAUGGGUUCAUCUGAAGCAGCAGCACGAUGUUGUUGGGGUCCAUGGAUUCCACAGCAUCCAGAAACUUGAACUGCACUUGCUGGUACUCACGGUGGUGCUCAAAUGUGAAGUACUGCACACCCCUCCUGGUCUCCACCAGCUGCAUGGCAAUACCUGUUUUGCUGUAGCGUGGCCAGGUGUUCUUGGGAGCUGUCAGCCAUGUGCUGCGGACGUACUGGCGCUGCCUUUGCCUUGGCCUCUGAUCACCAAGAACAGCACGAGCCCCAAAGUACCUCUUCAACUCAUUCUCUGGAUUCAAGUUUCUGUGCUCUAUGUACAGCAGCGGCCUGCUGUCAGCGAUUAUUCCACUCUGGGUCUCUUGUGAUAGUCCAUUGGUAUCCUCAAUCUUCUCCAGCAAGCUGUCAAUGUCUUCCAGGUCAUCAUCUUCCAGAGCCUCGCCUCCUGAAGUUUUCUUUGUUUUCCUUUUCUUUUUUUUCUUUCGUGGCUUGUUAUUCAACACAGGCCUUUGGUCCGGCUGGUUUGUCCCUUUCCCAUCUGUCUGCCCAUUGUGUUUUUUCUCUUCAGGUGUAGGCUCUUCAUUGCUCCCCUCUGCUGCAUCAUGCUCUUUGAGCCUGGCAUCUGCUCGCUCCUCUUUGGAUGGCAGGUCAUCCUCUGGUUCUUCACUGGUGAUCAGCUCGAAGCGGUUGCUGAUACCGGGACGACCCCCGGCUUUGGCAGCUGCCUGCGGCCACUCCCCGCCUCGCUCGGGGCCGGAGGCCAGGCCCAACUCGCCCAGGCCCGGCUCCUCCUGGCCCCGCUGCUCACCCCGCAGCCGCCGCAGGGCCCUCCGCGACAUGGAGCCCCGCGCC
This 1245-nucleotide long non-coding RNA is filed under the name Gallus gallus (chicken). The record is from RNAcentral. Lineage: Eukaryota; Metazoa; Chordata; Aves; Galliformes; Phasianidae.